UCAGAUCAGACCCAGAGAGAGAGAGAGAGAGAGACACAGAGAGAGAGAGACAGAGAGGGAGGAGUGUGUGUGUGUGUGAGUGUGUGUGUGUGUGUGUGUGUGAAAGAGGGAGAGGGAGCGAGAGAGAGAGAGAGAGAGAGAGAGAGAGAGAGAGAGAGAGAGAGGGAGGGAGAGAGAGAGAGAGGGAGAGAGAGGGAGGGAGAGAGAAAAGAAGAGGGGGAAAAAAAGGAAAGAAGAUUUUCUCUAUGUAUAUAAAGAUGGCCACGUUAGCAAACGGACAACCAGACAAUACCAGCCUGAGUAGCAAUCACAGCAACCCCAGCACCAACGGGCAUAUGAACGGAUUAAACCAUAGUCCCGGAAACCCAUCCACCAUCCCAAUGAAGGACCACGAUGCCAUUAAGCUCUUUAUUGGGCAGAUCCCCCGUAACCUGGACGAGAAAGACCUCAAACCGCUCUUCGAGGAGUUCGGGAAGAUCUACGAACUGACGGUGCUGAAGGACAGGUUCACUGGCAUGCACAAAGGCUGUGCCUUCUUAACAUACUGCGAAAGGGAGUCUGCUCUAAAGGCCCAGAGUGCACUGCAUGAACAGAAGACACUGCCGGGGAUGAACAGACCGAUCCAGGUGAAGCCAGCGGACAGCGAAAGCCGAGGAGAAGACAGAAAACUCUUUGUGGGCAUGCUCAAUAAGCAGCAGUCGGAAGAUGAUGUGCGCAGGCUAUUCGAGGCGUUUGGCAACAUUGAGGAGUGCACAAUCCUUCGGGGACCCGAUGGCAACAGCAAAGGGUGUGCAUUUGUGAAAUACUCUUCACAUGCAGAGGCCCAAGCUGCCAUCAAUGCCUUGCAUGGCAGCCAGACAAUGCCGGGAGCCUCUUCAAGCCUGGUGGUGAAGUUUGCAGACACGGACAAGGAGCGUACAAUGAGGCGCAUGCAGCAAAUGGCAGGACAAAUGGGCAUGUUCAAUCCCAUGGCCAUCCAGUUUGGAGCUUAUGGCGCCUAUGCACAGGCACUGAUGCAGCAGCAAGCGGCGAUAAUGGCGUCAGUGGCGCAGGGCGGAUACCUGAACCCCAUGGCAGCCUUUGCCGCCGCCCAGAUGCAGCAGAUGGCGGCUCUGAACAUGAAUGGCCUGGCAGCCGCCCCCAUGACUCCAACCUCAGGUGGAAGCACGCCUCCUGGCAUAACUGCACCAGCUGUGCCUAGCAUCCCAUCUCCAAUUGGGGUGAAUGGUUUCACGGGCCUCCCGCCGCAGGCUAAUGGGCAGCCAGCCGCUGAAGCUGUGUUUGCUAAUGGCAUUCAUCCUUAUCCAGGUGUAUGGCACCAGAUUUCCUUCCAAGAGGCCCCCACCUUUGCAUCCUCCAAGCCUUGCCUCCAGCCACACCUCUGUGCGGCACAGAGCCCCACUGCAGCAGACCCCUUGCAGCAAGCCUACGCUGGAGUGCAGCAGUACGCAGGUCCUGCUUAUCCUGCUGCUUAUGGCCAGAUUAGCCAAGCGUUCCCACAGCCACCUCCCAUGAUCCCACAGCAACAGAGAGAAGGACCAGAGGGCUGUAACCUGUUUAUCUACCAUCUGCCCCAGGAGUUUGGGGAUGCUGAGCUGAUGCAGAUGUUCCUGCCUUUCGGUAAUGUCAUCUCCUCGAAAGUGUUUGUGGAUCGGGCGACAAACCAAAGUAAAUGCUUUGGUUUUGUGAGUUUUGACAAUCCUGCCAGUGCCCAAGCUGCUAUCCAGGCCAUGAAUGGAUUCCAGAUUGGCAUGAAGAGGCUGAAGGUGCAGCUGAAGAGGCCAAAGGAUGCUAAUCGUCCCUACUGAAGGGUUGUGGGAACCACUGGAUACAAAGCACUAGCACAGAGCCAGUCAAAUCCACCACAGUCUCGCGCUGAGCUAGGAAAAAAGUUCUCGUAAUGACAUGAAAGUGGAGAAUACAGUUCCCCAGGCCGGCAGCAGCUGAAUGGGCCACAUUUAGAAAAAAAUAUAUAUAUAUAAUUUUAAAAAGUGAACUGUUGGAUUACACCUUUGACAUAUCAGCAAAUAUCAGUCAAGCUGAAGACUUCAGACCUAUUCUCUCUUUGAUUGUUUAGACUGUAACAUUUCUUCAAGAAAAGUAUCACAUCUGCUGACUUCGAAGGAUAUGCGCUUGAAAACAAACAAACACAUAAAGUAAAAUCAGAGCAGGAGGAAGAUGAACCGGGAUUUCUGAAGAGACACUGAUAUCACCACAGCGGCUUUUCUUCAAACAGGAGAUGCAAACCUGGAUUCUGGCAAAGGAGUGCCUGUUUGCCACCAAGGAUGCGGUUACCAUGCGAGGCCCAUGGUAACAGUCUCUGAGCAUCUUUAUCUGUCAUUCCUUAGCUAUAUAGGGACCAAAGGACAAAACUUUUUACCGCAGACUUGUAGCUGUAUGUAAAAUAUGGAAGUUCUUUCCUUUUCUCUGAGCUGUUCCUAAAACAGUUUUUG
Molecule: RNA transcript, 2453 nt
Organism: Hirundo rustica (Barn swallow)
Lineage: Eukaryota; Metazoa; Chordata; Aves; Passeriformes; Hirundinidae
Gene: CELF4
Gene name: CUGBP Elav-like family member 4
Exons: 15
Source: RefSeq, a predicted model, not a curated record